RNAcentral lists this transfer RNA (65 nucleotides) under bovine gut metagenome. It matches the Rfam family "tRNA", at positions 5 to 66 of the family's 71-position model. Rfam says of the family: Transfer RNA (tRNA) molecules are approximately 80 nucleotides in length. Their secondary structure includes four short double-helical elements and three loops (D, anti-codon, and T loops). Further hydrogen bonds mediate the characteristic L-shaped molecular structure. tRNAs have two regions of fundamental functional importance: the anti-codon, which is responsible for specific mRNA codon recognition, and the 3' end, to which the tRNAs corresponding amino acid is attached (by aminoacyl-tRNA synthetases). tRNAs cope with the degeneracy of the genetic code in two manners: having more than one tRNA (with a specific anti-codon) for a particular amino acid; and 'wobble' base-pairing, i.e. permitting non-standard base-pairing at the 3rd anti-codon position. The record is from RNAcentral.
UCCGUAGUUCAGUGGUAGAACUCUAGCUUCCCAAGCUAGCUAUACGGGUUCGAUUCCCGCCGGGU